AUUGAACGCUGGCGGCAUGCCUUACACAUGCAAGUCGAACGGCAGCACGGGUGCUUGCGCCUGGUGGCGAGUGGCGAACGGGUGAGUAAUACAUCUGAACAUGUCCUGUAGUGGGGGAUAGCCCGGCGAAAGCCGGAUUAAUACCGCAUACGAUCUACGGAUGAAAGCGGGGGACCGUCGGGCCUCGCGCUAUGGGGUUGGCCGAUGGCUGAUUAGCUAGUUGGUGGGGUAAAGGCCUACCAAGGCGACGAUCAGUAGAUGGUCUGAGAGGAUGACCAGCCACACUGGGACUGAGACACGGCCCAGACUCCUACGGGAGGCAGCAGUGGGGAAUUUUGGACAAUGGGCGGAAGCCUGCUCCAGCAAUGCCGCGUGUGUGAAGAAGGCCUUCGGGUUGUAAAGCACUUUUGUCCGGAAAGAAAUCCUUGGCUCUAAUACAGGCGGGGGAUGACGGUACCGGAAGAAGAAGCACCGGCUAACUACGUG
RNAcentral lists this ribosomal RNA (486 nucleotides) under uncultured bacterium. RNAcentral's name for it is "partial 16S ribosomal RNA". It matches the Rfam family "Bacterial small subunit ribosomal RNA", at positions 29 to 507 of the family's 1533-position model. The record is from RNAcentral.